Non-coding RNA from Paramuricea clavata, 211 nucleotides. Lineage: Eukaryota; Metazoa; Cnidaria; Anthozoa; Malacalcyonacea; Plexauridae. The record is from the annotation of a GenBank genome assembly.
UUAUCUGUUCCCCUACUGUUUGCUGACUUUGUGUAACUCAUCUCGGUGAAAGGAAGGCUAUCUUAUCUAAACAUCAAAUUCGACGCGUUUGAAGCUAAUGCACAAAUCAAAACUAACGCGUCGCUGCCAUGUUUUUGGUUCUGCCUGUACAAACAAAGCAGAUAAUUGAGAAUGGGCAUUAAAAAACCAUUAACACCAAAUUUCGAAUGAG